Bos taurus (domestic cattle) is the source of this 1248-nucleotide long non-coding RNA. Lineage: Eukaryota; Metazoa; Chordata; Mammalia; Artiodactyla; Bovidae. The record is from Ensembl.
CUCCAGGGCACUGGACUUAUAUAACCACCUCCACCGCCCCGCUCCAGUUGACAACAUUUUCAGGCUGUGUGCUUUGUAUAAACUAUCCAACUCUCAGGGGAUUAAAACAACAGCCGGUGUGAUUCUGAAGGUUGACUAGACUGGGCUGGGCGUCCUCUUCCACUCGAUGUCCAUCAAGGCUGCGGCCACCUCAGGGCUGGCCUGCACUGGAGCCUCCAGAGGCUGAUUCUUCCAGGAUGGCCCAGAGCAUCCCCGAGCUCAAAGGAGGAGGAGGAGGCUCCAGGUCUCCGAUGGCCAAGCACUGAGACCGCAGCAUCUCUACUUGGAGGUCACAGGAGCCACCCAGGGACCGUGGUCUUCAAACCAGCCCAAGGGAGGCCGCGUGAGGCAUCCGACAUUGAGUCAGAAGACGCGGGAUUUGCCAAGCUCUUCCCCGACCAGCUGCUCUAAUGGGAGCAAACCACAUCCGCCCUCUGAGACUCUGGCCUGGUCCCUGAGAGGAGAGGAGGAAAAAAAAAAAAAAAGCGCACAGGGUGUUCUGAAGGUUCCACAAGAUGAUGUGAGCAUUAACGGGGACAGACAGCCUGGAUCUAUCAACAGCACAGAGCUAGGCUUGACCCACCUGAGGAAAUCUUAUCCCAUGACUCGCUGUCAUAUUGCAAACUUAACCAUAAAGUAAGGCAAGGGAAAAAUUUGCUCCCAGCUUAAAAUUAAGAGCUGGCAGGGCCUCAGAGUUUUUAAGUUGGGUUCAAAUCCUCACGUAGCUCAGUGGAUAAAGCAUCUGCCUGCAAUGCAGGAGACCUGGGUUCAAUUCCUGGGUUGGGAAGAUCCCCUGGAGAAGGGAAUGGCAACCCACUCCAGUAUUCUUGCCUGGAGAAUCCCAUGGACAGAGGAGUCUUUCGGGCUACGGUUCGUGGGAUCACAAGAAUCAGACACGACUUAGCACUAUCUUUCUUUCUUUUCAAAGCCUUACUGGUUAUAUUAGGACAUUGAGUAGAUGAGUAGAAACCCUGUUCUCUUUUCAUUUCCUUCUGUUAACAUCUGACUUCUUCAAAGCUAAUCUCAUUCUCAUCUCAAACUGCAUUUCAGACUUUCAGAGGGGUGGUCUGUUUCCGUUGGCCCGUCCUCCCGAAUCAUCGGUUGCCCCCCACUGCCCCAGGCUUGGCUGCACCCCGUCUUCACACAAACCCUGCAACCUCACACAUUCUUUCAACGUCCCCUGACCGCCAUCUCUGCACCCCACUUCCA